Molecule: ribosomal RNA, 691 nt
Filed under: Loigolactobacillus coryniformis subsp. coryniformis
Lineage: Bacteria; Bacillati; Bacillota; Bacilli; Lactobacillales; Lactobacillaceae
Description: bacterial SSU rRNA
Rfam family: Bacterial small subunit ribosomal RNA
Source: RNAcentral
UCGAACGCACUGACGUCGACCGAAGCUGCUUGCAGUGGACGUUGAUUGACGUGAGUGGCGGACGGGUGAGUAACACGUGGGUAACCUACCCUUAAGUGGGGGAUAACAUUUGGAAACAGAUGCUAAUACCGCAUAACCAUUCAGACCACAUGGUCUGAAUGUAAAAGACGGCCUUUGGCUGUCACUUUUGGACGGACCCGCGGCGUAUUAGUUAGUUGGUAAGGUAACGGCUUACCAAGACAAUGAUACGUAGCCGACCUGAGAGGGUAAUCGGCCACAUUGGGACUGAGACACGGCCCAAACUCCUACGGGAGGCAGCAGUAGGGAAUCUUCCACAAUGGACGAAAGUCUGAUGGAGCAACGCCGCGUGAGUGAAGAAGGUUUUAGGAUCGUAAAACUCUGUUGUUGGAGAAGAACAGGGACUAGAGUAACUGUUAGUCCUUUGACGGUAUCCAACCAGAAAGCCACGGCUAACUACGUGCCAGCAGCCGCGGUAAUACGUAGGUGGCAAGCGUUGUCCGGAUUUAUUGGGCGUAAAGCGAGCGCAGGCGGUUUUUUAAGUCUGAUGUGAAAGCCUUCGGCUUAACCGAAGAAGUGCAUUAGAAACUGGGAAACUUGAGUGCAGAAGAGGACAGUGGAACUCCAUGUGUAGCGGUGAAAUGCGUAGAUAUAUGGAAGAACACCAGUGGCG